UGCUCUUGAAAGUUUCAACUUAUUUUUCUGUACAUUACUUUCUGUAGAUCAACUAUUCGAGCAUGGAAACUGCGGUGUUUUCAGGACCCCAAGUUCUUGCUAUAGAGAUGAUGUAUUAAGGGAUGGCAACGGCCAAAACUCAUACACCACAGAUCCCGCCACAUCUAAAACUGGUGGCACUUCACCUUGCACUAAACCUCAUCAAGAAGCUUGCAGGGAUGACCCUGCACGUACUACUACUUGCUCAGAUCAUAUACCCCCCUCUUCUAGUUUGCCUGACAGCAACCAUGAUAUGAAUAGAAUCAACAAUCUCAUUGAUGCCAUCUAUUGUGAAGAGCAAUCAAAUCAUAUGCAUA
Molecule: long non-coding RNA, 356 nt
Organism: Setaria italica (foxtail millet)
Lineage: Eukaryota; Viridiplantae; Streptophyta; Magnoliopsida; Poales; Poaceae
Exons: 3
Source: RefSeq, a predicted model, not a curated record